AUUUAUGUUUUAUUACAUUUUCAUUAUAGAAAGAAGUGGAAUGAAAUACGUUGACUCUUUCAUCAAGAAAAAAUGAAAUUAUUAUUUUACUCUUGCUCCGACAUUUCCUAAAUUUUGAAUAGUUUAGAAAUGAGAAGUAAAGUCCUUGAGACAGUAUGAUUCUAAAAGAAAGAAAAACAAUUAUUAUUAUUAUUAAUUUUUUGUCAUAAGUUUUGGUGAUUAGCUGGUUUAAUUAUUUUGAUUUGUCAAAUUAAUAUCCAGGAGCCAUUGA
Amphimedon queenslandica is the source of this 271-nucleotide long non-coding RNA. RefSeq lists it as uncharacterized. The transcript has 2 exons. The record is from RefSeq and is a predicted model, not a curated record. NCBI's taxonomy places the organism in Eukaryota, Metazoa, Porifera, Demospongiae, Haplosclerida, Niphatidae.